Long non-coding RNA from Megalobrama amblycephala (Wuchang bream), 1056 nucleotides. RefSeq lists it as uncharacterized. Lineage: Eukaryota; Metazoa; Chordata; Actinopteri; Cypriniformes; Xenocyprididae. The record is from RefSeq and is a predicted model, not a curated record. The transcript is spliced from 5 exons.
CUACACACUAAAAAGUAUGAUGUUUGGCUCUGCAGCUGGACACUAUUGACUUCCAUCGGUCCGUUCUCCUAUGUAGGGUCACGAGGGAGCUCAAGCAGAGCCUAAAACAUGGUCUUGAACUGUAGGCAGGGAAACACACUAAUCGGAUGCCAGUCUAUUACAGGGAAAAGUCACACACAGACGUACAUAUUAACACUCACAUACAGUUUAGUGUCUCCAUGUUUGUGGGGGAAACCGGACCCUGGAGGAAACCCACACCAACAUGGGAAGAACAUGCAAACAGUGUCAGGCUUCAGAUAAAUGGAAGAUUCAAAUGCAGUGAACAAACGUGAAAAGUUUAUUAGGAAAACUUGACGAACCAACGUGAAUAUGUGACAGUGAAGAUGAAGAAGGUCUGUAUGGUGGCUCCCAUGUUCUCCGCACACCAUAAGCGGACACAGACUGGGGAGACCACCGAGAGGAGAUGCAAGCAGGACUCCAGCAAGAGCUAAUGAGCUAACAAUAGCAAUCAAGCAGGAACUGUACGUUGAACUUUUACCCACACCUGUUGUUCAAGAUAAACAGUAAAAGUUUUUGACCUUUGUAUCAUGACGACUCCACCCGUACAUAAGGAUUUCAUCUUGCUCUCAUACAGCAAUGAGGACAUAAACUUCCAAGAAUGACUUCUAAACCAGGAUGAGAAAACAGACAGACAUCAGAAGUCAGAGAUGAUGUUUGAUUGAAGACUAAGGACAGACACGGAGGAGAGAACAGAGUAUAAACAUGUCAAGCGCUGACACCAGAGUGAUUUUUGCCCACAAUCCUCCUUGCAGAAGAAGAUGGAGCAAAGAAAAACCCCCUAUGAUGAGGAUUGUUCUGCUGGGGAAGAGCGUGUCAGAAAACAGUCAGGUGGGAAACUUCCUGUUGGGACGAGCAGCGCUUGACAGUGAAGCUCCUCCAGGUGUUGUAGAGAGAGUUGGAGGAAGAUUGAAGGACAGACAUGUGAUGGUCAUCAACAGUCCUCAGCUGCUCCAGACACAUCUGUCACUCCGUCACAUCACACAGACAGUGAAAGAG